GUUCCUACGGGACGCAGCAGUGAGGAAUAUUGGUCAAUGGGCGGAAGCCUGAACCAGCCAAGUCGCGUGAGGGAAGAAGGCCCUGCGGGUCGCAGACCUCUUUGGACGGGGAGCAAGGCCGCCGACGUGUCGGCGGAAGGAGAGUACCCGUAGAACAAGCAUCGGCUAACUCCGUGCCAGCAGCCGCGGUAAUACGGAGGAUGCGAGCGUUAUCCGGAUUUAUUGGGUUUAAAGGGUGCGUAGGCGGUUUUUUAAGUUAGUGGUUAAACGUCGGGGCUUCACCUUGAUUUGCCAUUC
RNAcentral lists this ribosomal RNA (297 nucleotides) under uncultured bacterium. Its description in RNAcentral is "partial 16S ribosomal RNA". It matches the Rfam family "Bacterial small subunit ribosomal RNA", at positions 335 to 629 of the family's 1533-position model. The record is from RNAcentral.